This 528-nucleotide ribosomal RNA is filed under the name Triticum aestivum (bread wheat). RNAcentral describes it as "partial small subunit ribosomal RNA". Lineage: Eukaryota; Viridiplantae; Streptophyta; Magnoliopsida; Poales; Poaceae. The record is from RNAcentral.
AUGGGGGUACUUUAUAAUAUGAUCAGGCAAAUCCAUUCUGGAUCAACUAGCUUACAUCAAAACUACUAUGUGCAAGAAGAUCUACGACGCACUUGCAACAAAACUAGAAAAUUCUAUUGUUACGGUUCGAAAACACUGUUUUCCAUCCUAGAUGAGGUUCAUGAUAGUUCUGCUUAUGAAAUCUUCCGAGCAAGAUUCUUCACUCCCGCACCAACACAUUUUAGAGUGACCGUGUUUGAGUUUGGGUCAGGCUUGAUGAUGAACUUGACAUCAAGGAACUCCUUAAUGUUUCGAAGUGAUUCUAUAGCGCGCGGUGUUAGCUGUCCCACGCGAACCUUUGACACAUCGGGCGGGCAUAGAGCGCACAGCAUGAACAGAAGGCCCUGCAAAUUGUUUACAAGAGAAACAUCAUGUGACUUAACAGAAGAAGCAAGAUUCAAAAGGAGCCAUAGAAGGAAAGGCAGACAGUCUCAGACAUCAUCUUGCCAAAAUGAACCAAGGACUAGAUUGGCAGAAGAACUUGGAUAA